UAGGGAAUAUUGGACAAUGGGGGCAACCCUGAUCCAGCCAUGCCGCGUGAGUGAAGAAGGCCCUCGGGUUGUAAAGCUCUUUUGUCCGGAAAGAAAAGCAUUCGGUGAAUACCCGGAUGUUCUGACGGUACCGGAAGAAUAAGCACCGGCUAACUUCGUGCCAGCAGCCGCGGUAAUACGAAGGGUGCAAGCGUUACUCGGAAUUACUGGGCGUAAAGCGUGCGUAGGUGGUUGUUUAAGUCUGAUGUGAAAGCCCUGGGCUCAACCUGGGAAUGGCAUUGGAAACUGGGCAGCUAGAGUGCGGUAGAGGGUAGUGGAAUUCCCGGUGUAGCAGUGAAAUGCGUAGAGAUCGGGAGGAACAUCUGUGGCGAAGGCGACUGCCUGGACCAGCACUGACACUGAGGCACGAAAGCGUGGGG
This 419-nucleotide ribosomal RNA is filed under the name uncultured bacterium. RNAcentral describes it as "bacterial SSU rRNA". It matches the Rfam family "Bacterial small subunit ribosomal RNA", at positions 355 to 766 of the family's 1533-position model. The record is from RNAcentral.